GUAGGUGGCAAGCGUUGUCCGGAAUUAUUGGGCGUAAAGCGCGCGCAGGCGGGUUCUUUAAGUCUGAUGUGAAAGCCCACGGGCUCAACCGUGGAGGGUCAUUGGAAACUGGAGAACUUGAGUACAGAAGAGGGAAGCGGAAUUCCACGUGUAGCGGUGAAAUGCGUAGAGAUGUGGAGGAACACCAGUGGCGAAGGCGGCUUUCUGGUCUGUAACCGACGCUGAGGCGCGAAAGCGUGGGGAGCAAACAGGAUUAGAUACCCUGGUAGUCCACGCCGUAAACGAUGAGUGCUAAGUGUUAGGGGGUUUCCGCCCCUUAGUGCUGCAGCUAACGCAUUAAGCACUCCGCCUGGGGAGUACGGCCGCAAGGCUG
RNAcentral lists this ribosomal RNA (373 nucleotides) under uncultured organism. RNAcentral's name for it is "partial 16S ribosomal RNA". It matches the Rfam family "Bacterial small subunit ribosomal RNA", at positions 527 to 896 of the family's 1533-position model. The record is from RNAcentral.